AUGCAAUUACCCCCCUCUGUUUCUUUUCAUUUGGGUGUACUAGGAUCUGAAAAAGAAGUCAGGCUUAUCAAAUUUUUUACUAACAAUUACUUGAUCAGUCUAUAUAACAUUCAGUGUACCAAUGUUUUAUCAAUAGAAUCAUAUUUCAAAGGGAUACUUAAACAAUGUUGAUUUGCAGAAAUUGAUAUUAUGAUAUAAAGAGGGCCAGUGGUUAGCAUAUACGUACUGUAGUAUUGAUAUGUUUCCCUAGUACAAGAAACAGAGGGAGAGACAGGGAGUAAUUCAAAGCAUACUCUCAUAGUAUAUUAGUAUGUAUGUUUUGUAUGUGCGUAGUGGUGAGUGGUUUGUUUCACAAAAAAGGGAAAUGGUUAUCAAGCCCCAAAAUUGAAAAAAAAAGAAAUAUAAAUGAGCAUAUUAAAAGCUUGAGCGGCAAGAAAGCGCCAACACCACA
RNAcentral lists this long non-coding RNA (451 nucleotides) under Sorghum bicolor (sorghum). RNAcentral describes it as "long non-coding RNA (SBIC_LNC006078)". The record is from RNAcentral. Lineage: Eukaryota; Viridiplantae; Streptophyta; Magnoliopsida; Poales; Poaceae.